This 403-nucleotide ribosomal RNA is filed under the name uncultured bacterium. RNAcentral describes it as "bacterial SSU rRNA". It matches the Rfam family "Bacterial small subunit ribosomal RNA", at positions 355 to 776 of the family's 1533-position model. The record is from RNAcentral.
UGGGGAAUUUUGCGCAAUGGGCGAAAGCCUGACGCAGCGACGCCGCGUGAACGAUGACGUCCUUAGGGAUGUAAAGUUCUGUCAAGAGGGAUGAUCAUGACGGUACCUCUAAAGGAAGCCCCGGCUAACUACGUGCCAGCAGCCGCGGUAAUACGUAGGGGGCAAGCGUUAACCGGAUUUAUUGGGCAUAAAGGGCGUGUAGGCGGUUUUAUAAGUCGGAUGUUAAAUCCCUUGGCUUACCCAAGGUUCGCAUCUGAUACUGUAAAACUAGAGAUCAGGAGAGGAAAGCGGAACUCACAGUGUAGCGGUGAAAUGCGUAGAUAUUGUGAGGAACACCAGUUGCGAAGGCGGCUUUCUGGACUGAAUCUGACGCUGAGACGCGAAAGCGUGGGGAGCGAACGGG